CUCCACCUUCCUCCCACGUCCCAGCCCAGAUCCACCAACCCACCGCCGCACCCCCAGCCGGCCAACUACCAACACCGGUGCUUCGCCCAAUCGCCCCACCUUUGCCGGCGCGCCCUCCCUGCCCAACACCGUCUUUCUGGACGAAGAGCCCCUCCCCGCGCCGUGCCGGCUGGAUGGCCCCGACCUCCUCGUACCUUCUUCCCGACACGGGCUCGCAUCCCUGUCGCAGGCGCUCCCCUUCCUGCUGCCUUCCCCGCUCCGAGCCGCCCGAUCUAGGCCAUUGCCGGCCCGCGCAACGCCCCACCGCCAGCCACCACCCAGCCCCACUGCCCCUUCCUCCCAAUCAAUCUUGGCGGAUCCAUCCCCGUGCCACUGUGCAUUGCCCGGCGUUGGAUUGAGCCCCACCUCUGCAGCUCAUGGCGCUUCUCAUGCUGCUCAUCGGCGAGACCCCGACGUUGACCGCAACCACUGAGCUUCUCCCCUACCUAGCUCGCGGUGGCCAACACAGGUGCAGUUUGCCGCUGCUUCCUGACAUGCUUAGGUGGCCCCGGUACUGCAGUGUGGUUCCCUCCCGCGUGCUGUUCGUCGGUGGUUUCUCCACCUUGAUGCUGAUCCAGGGCGAUGCAGGUGGUUCCCCUCUCUCUGUACUCCCUCUUCCUCAUUAAAUGGCGGAUCCAAGGUUCUCCCCACUGACGAACAGGGAAAAAAGUGAGCAGGGAAAAAAGUGAGCACAGCAACAAUGGUUUUGUGGUUCAUUUUGAUUUUGAUUUUUGGAUGAAAUCUUCAGUGCACGAUGAGGGACGAAUCCGGCGCUCCGUUGCUUCGUUCCCCUCUCUGCUGCUCCGUUUCUUGAUUCCCUCCUCUGCAGUUCUGUAACGCUUGUCGUGCAGCUCAGCGACGGAAGUUUUGCAGUGCGGCUGUAAUCGCGCGGGCUGUGGCUCGCUAGUGUUGUCUUCGGUGAGCUGCUGUGAUGGGCUAGUUUCCUGUUGCAUCUCCGGUGGCUUGGAGUACCAUGGCUGGCGUGUGCGGGCCGUCCUGAUGGCGUGGGUAUGUCGUUCACUUGGAGCACCAUGGCUGGCUAUGUGCAUGCAGUCCCGAGAGCAUGGGCAUGUCAUUCACUUUAUUUUGUUUUGAAGAAAAAAUGUCAGUGCAGUGCCGUUCGAUUUAUUUGUUCAGAAAAAAGAAAAGGUUUUCUGCACUUCACUUUGAUUUUUAGGUUGAUGCGUGUGUGGUGCACUUUCGACACCGCUGCGAUUCACUUUCAAUGGUGCUGCGGUUCCUUAUGCCCGAUGUGAAGUCAAAAAAAAGUUAGGGAACGGUAAAAAAACCACAUGAGGUUCACUUU
Molecule: long non-coding RNA, 1345 nt
Organism: Triticum dicoccoides
Lineage: Eukaryota; Viridiplantae; Streptophyta; Magnoliopsida; Poales; Poaceae
Exons: 2
Source: RefSeq, a predicted model, not a curated record